Molecule: ribosomal RNA, 497 nt
Filed under: uncultured bacterium
Lineage: Bacteria
Description: partial 16S ribosomal RNA
Rfam family: Bacterial small subunit ribosomal RNA
Source: RNAcentral
GAUGAACGCUGGCGGCGUGCCUAAUACAUGCAAGUCGAGCGAACAGACGCGGAUCUUGCUGCUCUGACGUUAGCGGCGGACGGGAGAGUAACACGUGUAUACCCUACCUAUAAGACUGGGAUAACUUCGGGACACCGGAGCUUAUCCCGGAUAAUAUAUUGAACCGCAUGGUUCAAUAGUGAGAUACGGCUUUUCUGUCACUUCUAGAGGGUUCCGCGCCGCAUUAGCUAGUUGGUACGGUCACGGCUUACCAAGGCAACGAUGCGUAGCCGACCGGAGAGGGUGAUCGGCCACACUGGAACUGAGACACGGUCCAGAGUCCUACGGGAGGCAGCAGUAGGGAAUCGUACGCAAUGGGCGAGAGCAUGACGGAGCAACGGCGCGUGAGUGAUGAAGGUCUUCGGAUCGUAAAAAUCGGCUACUAGGGAAGAACAAAUGUGUAAGGAACUAUGGACUUCUUGACGGUACCUGAUCAGAAAGCCACGGCUAACUACGUG